Molecule: long non-coding RNA, 631 nt
Filed under: Homo sapiens (human)
Lineage: Eukaryota; Metazoa; Chordata; Mammalia; Primates; Hominidae
Description: non-protein coding lnc-RAF1-1:1
Source: RNAcentral
AAGCACAAAGCCACCUAGAGCACAUCCUGCUUGUCCUUUGGGGCAUCUCUGUCAUGUGCUUAUAGUCACUCCUCUCCAUCUAUGUUAUACUGAUCUUACUCCAAGCCUCUUUCAUGUUGCGCUUUGUAAUGAAUUUCCAACUGCUCAACCUUUCUGAUGGACAAACCGCCCCUCAUAUCUUCCAAGAGAGACGACUGAGACAUGAACUGGAGGAGGGGAGAGACGACUAGGUGGGUGAAGUGCAUAGCUGGAGACUCAGAGCAGGAAAAGCAACUUUGCUACCAAACACUCGGGAGAAAAAGGCUAUCAGAUAGAAGCGGGUGAAGAAGCUGAGAAAACAGAAGAGAAGGGUGGCUGCCAGCUCGGGACUCAAAAUGGCCAUCUGGGCGUAGAGACACAGAGACCCUUUGCGCAGACGUGCGCCGAGGGUCUUGCAAAGCUUUCGUUUUCUUUGUGUGCCGACCUGCCCCUAGAAGCGGUUUUCGAUGCUAUUUUAAAUGAUAUUCCUAAAAUUUCCGAAUUGCUUGUUGCUUAUAUAUAGAAAUACACUGGAUCUUUGUAUACUGACUUGGGAUUCAGCUCCAUGCUAAAUUUUGAAUUAAUUCUAAUGGUUUAUUUGUAGUUAGUUAUC